Molecule: ribosomal RNA, 481 nt
Filed under: uncultured bacterium
Lineage: Bacteria
Description: bacterial SSU rRNA
Rfam family: Bacterial small subunit ribosomal RNA
Source: RNAcentral
GACGAACGCUGGCGGCGUGCCUAACACAUGCAAGUCAACUUGACUGAAGGAGCAAUCUGACAGUAGAGUGGCGCAAGGGUGCGUAACGCGUAAGUAACUUGCCCCAAGGUAAGGAAUAACGUCGAGAAAUCGGCGCUAAUACCUCAUAAUGCAGCGGAUCCGCAUGGAUAUGUUGUUAAAGGUUUACCGCCUUGGGAUAGGCUUGCGUCUGAUUAGCUAGUUGGUGUGGUAACGGCACACCAAGGCUACGAUCAGUAACUGGUCUGAGAGGAUGAUCAGUCACACUGGAACUGAGACACGGUCCAGACUCCUACGGGAGGCAGCAGUGAGGAAUAUUGGGCAAUGCUCGAAAGAGUGACCCAGCAACGCCGCGUGGAGGAUGAAGGUAUUCUAUAUCGUAAACUCCUGUGAGAGCAGACGAAAGACAGAAUUAUUAAUACUGGAUGACUGUAUGCUCAGAGGAAGCCCCGGCUAACUACGU